AGGACGAACGCUGGCGGCGUGCUUAACACAUGCAAGUCGAGCGGAAAGGCCCUUCGGGGUACUCGAGCGGCGAACGGGUGAGUAACACGUGAGUAAUCUGCCCCUAGCUCUGGGAUAGCUCCGGGAAAACCGGGAUUAAUACCAGAUACGACCACUUUAGACAUCUGCUGUGGUGGAAAGAAUUUCGGCUAGGGAUGAGCUCGCGGCCUAUCAGCUUUGUUGGUGAGGUAACGGCUCACCAAGGCGACGACGGGUA
This 256-nucleotide ribosomal RNA is filed under the name uncultured bacterium. Its description in RNAcentral is "partial small subunit ribosomal RNA". It matches the Rfam family "Bacterial small subunit ribosomal RNA", at positions 26 to 285 of the family's 1533-position model. The record is from RNAcentral.